AGCUGGACUCAGGGAUAACUAGUGAAUCGAAUAAUCCUCAUAGAAGACUGUCAUUGAGAACGUCAGCCCAUCUCCUCGCAGGGAGCGCUAAUAUGUACAAACGUAAAGUUGAUGAGCUGUUUGAAGAUAUGAACAAACUGAAUGAAGAUCUCACAUGGCGUCGUAAGAGAACUUACAAUUCGAGUAGCUCGGAAAGCACCAGUUCUUCAAAAUCGGUAACAGUGCCUGAACAAAUGAAACGAGCAAAUACCAUCAGUUUUGG
Molecule: long non-coding RNA, 262 nt
Organism: Helicoverpa zea (corn earworm)
Lineage: Eukaryota; Metazoa; Arthropoda; Insecta; Lepidoptera; Noctuidae
Exons: 3
Source: RefSeq, a predicted model, not a curated record